AGAGUUUGAUCCUGGCUUAGGAUGAACGCUGGCGGCGUGCUUAACACAUGCAAGUCGAACGGAGUUAGAGAGCUUGCUCUUAAACUUAGUGGCGGACGGGUGAGUAACGCGUGGGUAACCUGCCUUUCACUGGGGGAUAACAGUUAGAAAUGACUGCUAAUACCGCACUAAGCGCACAGGUUCGCAUGAACUAGUGUGAAAAACUCCGGUGGUGAAAGAUGGACCCGCGUCUGAUUAGCUAGUUGGUGAGGUAACGGCCCACCAAGGCGACGAUCAGUAGCCGGCCUGAGAGGGCGAACGGCCACAUUGGGACUGAGACACGGCCCAAACUCCUACGGGAGGCAGCAGUGGGGAAUAUUGCACAAUGGGGGAAACCCUGAUGCAGCGACGCCGCGUGAGUGAAGAAGUAUUUCGGUAUGUAAAGCUCUAUCAGCAGGGAAGAAAAUGACGGUACCUGACUAAGAAGCCCCGGCUAACUACGUGCCAGCCGCCGC
RNAcentral lists this ribosomal RNA (494 nucleotides) under uncultured bacterium. RNAcentral describes it as "bacterial SSU rRNA". It matches the Rfam family "Bacterial small subunit ribosomal RNA", at positions 8 to 518 of the family's 1533-position model. The record is from RNAcentral.